GUCCGUAUGGUCUAGUGGUUAUGACGCAUGCCUGUCACGCAUGAGACCGGAGUUCAAUUCUCCGUAUGGGCG
RNAcentral lists this transfer RNA (72 nucleotides) under Caudoviricetes sp. RNAcentral describes it as "tRNA-Asp". It matches the Rfam family "tRNA". From Rfam's summary of the family: Transfer RNA (tRNA) molecules are approximately 80 nucleotides in length. Lineage: Duplodnaviria; Heunggongvirae; Uroviricota; Caudoviricetes. The record is from RNAcentral.